This 468-nucleotide ribosomal RNA is filed under the name uncultured bacterium. RNAcentral describes it as "partial 16S ribosomal RNA". It matches the Rfam family "Bacterial small subunit ribosomal RNA", at positions 28 to 507 of the family's 1533-position model. The record is from RNAcentral.
GACGAACGCUGGCGGCGUGCUUAACACAUGCAAGUCGAACGGAAAGGCCCUGCUUUUGUGGGGUGCUCGAGUGGCGAACGGGUGAGUAACACGUGAGUAACCUGCCCUUGACUUUGGGAUAACUUCAGGAAACUGGGGCUAAUACCGGAUAGGAUCUCCUGCUGCAUGGUGGGGGUUGGAAAGUUUCGGCGGUUGGGGAUGGACUCGCGGCUUAUCGGCUUGUUGGUGGGGUAGUGGCUUACCAAGGCUUUGACGGGUAGCCGGCCUGAGAGGGUGACCGGCCACAUUGGGACUGAGAUACGGCCCAGACUCCUACGGGAGGCAGCAGUGGGGAAUAUUGCACAAUGGGCGGAAGCCUGAUGCAGCAACGCCGCGUGCGGGAUGACGGCCUUCGGGUUGUAAACCGCUUUCGCCUGUGACGAAGCGUGAGUGACGGUAAUGGGUAAAGAAGCACCGGCUAACUACGUG